AUUGAACGCUGGCGGCAGGCCUAACACCUGCAAGUCGAGCGAGCGGCGGACGGGUGAGUAAUGUCUGGGAAACUGCCUGAGGGAGGGGGAUAACUACUGGAAACGGUAGCUAAUACCGCAUACCAUCAGAUGUGCCCAGAUGGGAUUAGCUAGUAGGUGGGGUAACGGCUCACCUAGGCGACGAUCCCUAGCUGGUCUGAGAGGAUGACCAGCCACCCUGGAAAUGAGACACGUGCCAGACUCCUACGGGAGGCAGCAGUGGGGAAUAUUGCUCCAGGGGCGCAAGCCUGAGUCAGCCAUGCCGCGUGUAUGAAGAAGGCCUUCGGGUUGUAAAGUACUUGCAGCGGGGAGGCGUUACCCGCAGAAGAAGCACCUGCUAACUCCGUGCCAGCAGCCGCGGUAAUUC
This 406-nucleotide ribosomal RNA is filed under the name uncultured bacterium. RNAcentral describes it as "partial 16S ribosomal RNA". It matches the Rfam family "Bacterial small subunit ribosomal RNA", at positions 30 to 526 of the family's 1533-position model. The record is from RNAcentral.